CUACGGGUUGCUGCAGUGGGGAAUAUUGGACAAUGGACCAAAAGUCUGAUCCAGCAAUUCUGUGUGCACGAUGAAGGUCUUCGGAUUGUAAAGUGCUUUCAGUAGGGAAGAAGAAUGUGACGGUACCUACAGAAGAAGCGACGGCUAAAUACGUGCCAGCAGCCGCGGUAAUACGUAUGUCGCAAGCGUUAUCCGGAAUUAUUGGGCAUAAAGGGCGUCUAGGGGGUUUACUAAGUCUGAUGUGAAAAUGCGGGGCUCAACUCCGUAUUGCGUUGGAAACUGGUUGACUAGAGUCUUGAGAGGUGGGCGGAACUACAAGUGUAGAGGUGAAAUUCGUAGAUAUUUGUAGGAAUGCCGAUGACGAAGGUAGCUCACUGGACAAGUACUGACACUAAAGCGCGAAAGCUAGGGGAGCAAACAGGAUUAGAUACCCCAGUAGUC
RNAcentral lists this ribosomal RNA (441 nucleotides) under uncultured bacterium. RNAcentral's name for it is "partial 16S ribosomal RNA". It matches the Rfam family "Bacterial small subunit ribosomal RNA", at positions 339 to 795 of the family's 1533-position model. The record is from RNAcentral.